UAAGCGGAGGAAAAGAAACUAACUAGGAUUCCCUUAGUAACGGCGAGUGAAGAGGGAAAAGCCCAAAUUUGUAAUCUGGCUCUAUUCUUGAGUCUGAGUUGUAAUUUUAAGAGCUGUUUUCUGUGCUGGACUGUGUACAAGUGUGUUGAAAAACACCAUCAUAGAGGGUGAUAAUCCCGUAUAUGACAUAGAUCAAACCAGUGCUAUAUGAUACAGUUUCUAAGAGUCGAGUUGUUUGGGAAUGCAGCUCAAAUUGGGUGGUAAAUUCCAUCUAAGGCUAAAUAUAGGUGAGAGACCGAUAGCAAACAAGUACCGUGAGGGAAAGAUGAAAAGAACUUUGGAAAGAGAGUUAACAGUACGUGAAAUUGUUAAAAGGGAAACAAUUGAAGUUAGCCUUGUUGUUGUUGGUUCAGCCCUGUUUGGGUGUAUUCCAAUUAUCAGCAGACCAACAUCAAUUCUGCAGUGCUGGAUAAGGGUUUUGAAAAUGUAGCAGUCUUUGGCUGUGUUAUAGAUCUUUACUUUGAUACAGUGCUUGGGAUUGAGGACUGCAGUAAGCUCUAUUGUGGAAUGAUUUUGAUUGUUCUUCUUACUCAGGAUGUUGGGAAUAGCUUCAACUGACCCGUCUUGA
RNAcentral lists this ribosomal RNA (628 nucleotides) under Stomatisora psychotriicola. Its description in RNAcentral is "LSU rRNA". It matches the Rfam family "Eukaryotic large subunit ribosomal RNA", at positions 47 to 657 of the family's 3401-position model. Lineage: Eukaryota; Fungi; Basidiomycota; Pucciniomycetes; Pucciniales; Crossopsoraceae. The record is from RNAcentral.